Molecule: long non-coding RNA, 1631 nt
Organism: Syngnathus typhle (broad-nosed pipefish)
Lineage: Eukaryota; Metazoa; Chordata; Actinopteri; Syngnathiformes; Syngnathidae
Exons: 8
Source: RefSeq, a predicted model, not a curated record
AAAUCCGUAUUACAGAGCCGCCUCUCUCCCGUGCGCGGUGGUGCGUUUACGGGCAGUCGGAGAAAUCAACGCCAACAAAAAAAAUUACAUCCAGCCUAGUUAAGACCAUACCAAAGACUAUAAAAAUGGGACCCAUUGCCUCCCUGCGUGUGUGACGAUCAUUGGGACUUAAAAAAAAAAAAAAAAAAAAAAAUUUAAAAAAAAAAUUAAAAAAUUUUUUUGUACCCAUGUAUAAUGCGCACCCCAGAUUUUAGGACAAUAAAUUAGUUAAAUUUUGCGCACUAUACACGGAAAAAAACGGUAAAUGAUUUUAUGCCAUGCAGUUCAUAUGAUUAAAAAAAACAUUCAAGUGGACAAUUAUUACUAAGACCUUUCUUAAUUCAGUAGCUUCCAAAUGACAUUGUUGAAUAGACAAUAUGUCACGCUCAUUUUGUCUCCUGCUAGUUUGACUGGAUUUGCACUUUUUUUCAGAUGUUCUAUUUGAAAAAUGCGUAAACAUUUUCUUUCUACAAUUAAUCAACAUGGAAAUGUUGCGGUACCAGACUCUUCCCCUCUUCACGCAGGUUAGUCAAGUUAAGCAAUGUUGGCCCUCGUAGACAGGUCACAAAUAAACGGCACAAUUUGAGAGCUGUGAUUACAAUUCAUUUUUUAACUUGUAAAGAGUUUGUCUUCGUAGCAGGACAAAGAAACACAGGAGUGGCUCUGGAGGUCUAAAACCUGUUUGGCAAUGACAAAACACCAUUGAUAGUUAAUUUUGGUGUUGGCCUUAAAUUACGCAAUUAAUUUUGUAAACCUAGAAAAUGUUGCGGAAACUCAUUUUAAGCGGUAUGUGACAUUUGGCAGCAGCCCCGGUACUUUCAACAGUGGCGCAAGACUUUCAAGUUUUUAAAAGGAUUGCUCGUCAUUGUAGUGUCGUGAUAAUGAAAGUUAUUAAAGCUUCAACUACAAAGAUCUAAACUGUGAGGACAUCCAGUUUCUACAGUCAUCGUCGCCCACAGAAGCCAAACUCGCAAGUCCAAAGAGAUGGCAUUUGCUCUUUACUCGUUGUUCCUCCUUUGUGGGAUCGGUGGGCUGUUGACCCAAUCUUUGAAUGAAUUCUGUAAUUUCGAAGCAUCUGUCCUAAUGGCUGGAUUCAGUUUGACUAGCGCUGUUACUCCUACCACGCUCGUGAAAGGACGUUUUUAGAUGCAGAGAGCUUCUGCAACGUUCUCGGUGGACAUCUGGUCUCCAUCCGCAGUUUCUUUGAAAAUGGUUUUGUUCUUCAUCUGCUUCCGAACGGUGGUAACGAUAACGUAGCCUGGAUUGGACUCCAUGAUAAAAUUUCGGAUGAGGACUACAUAUGGACUGAUGGCACCAUUGUGCGUUUCACUGCUUUUCGUCUACAACCUGAUGGAUUUUUUCAAUUGAGGGAUUUUGGGUGGAAGCACUUUGCACUGCGACGGCCCCUUUUGCUUCCAGCCAAGAUAUUAACUGUGGCUUCAAGCGUGAUGGCGGGAAUGGUUUCAGCCGUGGUUUAGGCCAUCGUGGCUCUGGUGGCCGGUGAUAAUCUGUCAAUUCACCAUACUGUCUUCUGUCGCAAUGUAUUUCCCUAAUCACGAUGAUGCAAUGCAAUGAUAAAAUAUCAAAUUCUA